UACGUAGGGGGCUAGCGUUGUCCGGAUUUAUUGGGCGUAAAGAGCGCGUAGGCGGCCAGGUAAGUCCGACGUGAAAUCUGGAGGCUCAACCUCCAGCGGUCGUUGGAAACUACUUGGCUAGAGUCCGGAAGAGGAGAGUGGAAUUCCUGGUGUAGCGGUGAGAUGCGCAGAUAUCAGGAAGAACACCGAUGGCGAAAGCAGCUCUCUGGGACGGUACUGACGCUGAGGCGCGAAAGCGUGGGGAGCGAACAGG
This 253-nucleotide ribosomal RNA is filed under the name uncultured bacterium. Its description in RNAcentral is "partial 16S ribosomal RNA". It matches the Rfam family "Bacterial small subunit ribosomal RNA", at positions 524 to 776 of the family's 1533-position model. The record is from RNAcentral.